This 78-nucleotide transfer RNA is filed under the name Pyrococcus furiosus DSM 3638. Its description in RNAcentral is "tRNA-Ala (GGC) (tRNA-Ala-GGC-1-1)". It matches the Rfam family "tRNA". From Rfam's summary of the family: Transfer RNA (tRNA) molecules are approximately 80 nucleotides in length. Lineage: Archaea; Methanobacteriati; Methanobacteriota; Thermococci; Thermococcales; Thermococcaceae. The record is from RNAcentral.
GGGCCGGUAGCUCAGCCUGGUAUGAGCGCCGCCUUGGCAAGGCGGAGGCCCGGGUUCAAAUCCCCGGCCGGUCCACCA